AGUCGAGCGGCAGCGGGAAGUAGCUUGCUACUUUGCCGGCGAGCGGCGGACGGGUGAGUAAUGUCUGGGAAACUGCCUGAUGGAGGGGGAUAACUACUGGAAACGGUAGCUAAUACCGCAUAAUGUCGCAAGACCAAAGAGGGGGACCUUCGGGCCUCUUGCCAUCAGAUGUGCCCAGAUGGGAUUAGCUAGUAGGUGGGGUAAUGGCUCACCUAGGCGACGAUCCCUAGCUGGUCUGAGAGGAUGACCAGCCACACUGGAACUGAGACACGGUCCAGACUCCUACGGGAGGCAGCAGUGGGGAAUAUUGCACAAUGGGCGCAAGCCUGAUGCAGCCAUGCCGCGUGUAUGAAGAAGGCCUUCGGGUUGUAAAGUACUUUCAGCGGGGAGGAAGGUGUUGAGGUUAAUAACCUCAGCAAUUGACGUUACCCGCAGAAGAAGCACCGGCUAACUCCGUGCCAGCAGCCGCGGUAAUACGGAGGGUGCAAGCGUUAAUCGGAAUUACUGGGCGUAAAGCGCACGCAGGCGGUCUGUCAAGUCGGAUGUGAAAUCCCCGGGCUCAACCUGGGAACUGCAUUCGAAACUGGCAGGCUAGAGUCUUGUAGAGGGGGGUAGAAUUCCAGGUGUAGCGGUGAAAUGCGUAGAGAUCUGGAGGAAUACCGGUGGCGAAGGCGGCCCCCUGGACAAAGACUGACGCUCAUGUGCGAAAGCGUGGGGAGCAAACAAGAUUAGAUACCCUGGUAGUCCACGCCGUAAACGAUGUCGACUUGGAGGUUGUGCCCUUGAGGCGUGGCUUCCGGAG
RNAcentral lists this ribosomal RNA (802 nucleotides) under Enterobacter sp. Its description in RNAcentral is "bacterial SSU rRNA". It matches the Rfam family "Bacterial small subunit ribosomal RNA", at positions 60 to 851 of the family's 1533-position model. Lineage: Bacteria; Pseudomonadati; Pseudomonadota; Gammaproteobacteria; Enterobacterales; Enterobacteriaceae. The record is from RNAcentral.